AUGUGGGAACGGCGUUCCUGCACUUUUUUUUACAGCCGUUCCCGCUAUUUCUGCAAAUGCCCCCCAUGUUCCCCGUCAUGGAGGGGCCCAAGAGGUGGCCUGAUGGACCCCGACGGUGGGCGUCUGUCUCCAUAUCAGACGCGGCAAGGGAGCUGUGUUCUCGCUGCGCCGUUUGCUGAUGCUGGGAGCUGAAAUAUGACGUCAUAUUCCAGCUCCCUGCAUCAGUAGACUGCCCGCGUGGCGAGAGGGAGCAGAGAGAAUACAGCUCCCUUGCCGUGUCUGAUAUGGAGACAGGCGCCCGCCCCACUGCACCCCAGGGACAGGUCCACGCCAGCUCUCCAGGUAGGGAGGCUGGGUGGACAUUUUUUCAUUUAAAAAAAAUAAUUUGUGAGUGUGUAUGUGUGUCUGUGUGUGUGCACGCAUAUAUGUGUGUGUGUCAGUGUGUGUGCACGCAUAUAUAUAUAAGUGUAUAUUACUUGGGGGGGGAUCUUGGGUAAGUUAUGACACUUUACUCCCCAGGACUGGUGGUGAAAGAGAAACACACAGAAGCUGGUAAGAGUAAAAGACACAAAGGCUCUGGGAGAGUAAGAAACACAAAGGGGGGUAGUAAGCGAUACACAUGGGAGGUGUAAGAAACACAAUGGGGGAAAAAUAGGUGAAUAGAAGACAGUAAAGGGGUAAGACCUUUAAAAAGGGGGAUAAUAAACAAAUGGCAGGUUAGGAGGCACACAGGUGAAGCCCUUGGAUUGUAUCCUGCUGCCUGCAUCUCUGUGUAUAUUGGUCCAUCUUUCGUUCUAUAGCUGCAUGGUGGUGGAGAAGUGCCUGGAU
This is a non-coding RNA of Pelobates cultripes (western spadefoot toad), 828 nucleotides long. The record is from the annotation of a GenBank genome assembly. NCBI's taxonomy places the organism in Eukaryota, Metazoa, Chordata, Amphibia, Anura, Pelobatidae.